This 1346-nucleotide ribosomal RNA is filed under the name uncultured bacterium. RNAcentral describes it as "bacterial SSU rRNA". It matches the Rfam family "Bacterial small subunit ribosomal RNA", at positions 28 to 1381 of the family's 1533-position model. The record is from RNAcentral.
GACGAACGCUGGUGGCGUGCUUGACACAUGCAAGUCGAACGGAAAGGCCCUGCUUUUGUGGGGUGCUCGAGUGGCGAACGGGUGAGUAACACGUGAGUAACCUGCCCUUGACUUUGGGAUAACUUCAGGAAACUGGGGCUAAUACCGGAUAGGAGCUCCUGCUGCAUGGUGGGGGUCGGAAAGUUUCGGCGGUUGGGGAUGGACUCGCGGCUUAUCAGCUUGUUGGUGGGGUAGUGGCUUACCAAGGCUUUGACGGGUAGCCGGCCUGAGAGGGUGACCGGCCACAUUGGGACUGAGAUACGGCCCAGACUCCUACGGGAGGCAGCAGUGGGGAAUAUUGCACAAUGGGCGGAAGCCUGAUGCAGCAACGCCGCGUGCGGGAUGACGGCCUUCGGGUUGUAAACCGCUUUCGCCUGUGACGAAGCGUGAGUGACGGUAAUGGGUAAAGAAGCACCGGCUAACUACGUGCCAGCAGCCGCGGUGAUACGUAGGGUGCGAGCGUUGUCCGGAUUUAUUGGGCGUAAAGGGCUCGUAGGUGGUUGAUCGCGUCGGAAGUGUAAUCUUGGGGCUUAACCCUGAGCGUGCUUUCGAUACGGGUUGACUUGAGGAAGGUAGGGGAGAAUGGAAUUCCUGGUGGAGCGGUGGAAUGCGCAGAUAUCAGGAGGAACACCAGUGGCGAAGGCGGUUCUCUGGGCCUUUCCUGACGCUGAGGAGCGAAAGCGUGGGGAGCGAACAGGCUUAGAUACCCUGGUAGUCCACGCUGUAAACGGUGGGUACUAGGUGUGGGGUCCAUUCCACGGGUUCCGUGCCGUAGCUAACGCUUUAAGUACCCCGCCUGGGGAGUACGGCCGCAAGGCUAAAACUCAAAGGAAUUGACGGGGCCCCGCACAAGCGGCGGAGCAUGCGGAUUAAUUCGAUGCAACGCGUAGAACCUUACCUGGGUUUGACAUGGAUCGGGAGUGCUCAGAGAUGGGUGUGCCUCUUUUGGGGUCGGUUCACAGGUGGUGCAUGGCUGUCGUCAGCUCGUGUCGUGAGAUGUUGGGUUAAGUCCCGCAACGAGCGCAACCCUUGUUCACUGUUGCCAGCACGUUAUGGUGGGGACUCAGUGGAGACCGCCGGGGUCAACUCGGAGGAAGGUGGGGAUGACGUCAAGUCAUCAUGCCCCUUAUGUCCAGGGCUUCACGCAUGCUACAAUGGCUGGUACAGAGAGUGGCGAGCCUGUGAGGGUGAGCGAAUCUCGGAAAGCCGGUCUCAGUUCGGAUUAGGGUCUGCAACUCGACCUCAUGAAGUCGGAGUCGCUAGUAAUCGCAGAUCAGCAACGCUGCGGUGAAUACGUUCCCGGGGCU